This 407-nucleotide ribosomal RNA is filed under the name uncultured bacterium. RNAcentral describes it as "partial 16S ribosomal RNA". It matches the Rfam family "Bacterial small subunit ribosomal RNA", at positions 30 to 526 of the family's 1533-position model. The record is from RNAcentral.
AUUGAACGCUGGCGGCAGGCCUAACACAUGCAAGUCGAGCGGAGCGGUGGACGGGUGAGUAAUGCCUAUGAAUCUGCCUGGUCUCGGGGGAUAAAGUUCGGAAACGGGCGCUAAUACCGCUAACUUUCAGAAGAGCAUAGGUCGGAGUAGCUUGUUGGUGGGGUAAAGGCCAACCAAGGCGACGAUCCGUAACUGGUCUGAGAGGAUGAUCAGUCACACUGGAACUGAGACACGGUCCAUACUCCUACGGGAGGCAGCAGUGGGGAAUAUGGGACAAUGGGCUAAAGCCUGAUCCAGCCAUGCCGCGUGUGUGAAGAAGGUCUUCGGAUUGUAAAGCACUUUAAGUUGGGAGGCGUUACCAACAGAAUAAGCACCGGCUAACUUCGUGCCAGCAGCCGCGGUAAUUC